AUUAGGAUGGCCGAAACCAGGUAGAAAGCUGUAAACUUUCCCAUGAGCAUGCCUCUCCUCAU
This 62-nucleotide transfer RNA is filed under the name Questa ersei. RNAcentral describes it as "tRNA-Tyr". The record is from RNAcentral. Lineage: Eukaryota; Metazoa; Annelida; Polychaeta; Questidae.